RNAcentral lists this ribosomal RNA (404 nucleotides) under Actinomycetes bacterium. Its description in RNAcentral is "Actinobacteria bacterium partial 16S ribosomal RNA". It matches the Rfam family "Bacterial small subunit ribosomal RNA", at positions 355 to 776 of the family's 1533-position model. The record is from RNAcentral. Lineage: Bacteria; Bacillati; Actinomycetota; Actinomycetes.
UGGGGAAUAUUGGACAAUGGGCGCAAGCCUGAUCCAGCCAUGCCGCGUGAGUGAUGAAGGCCCUAGGGUUGUAAAGCUCUUUCACCGGUGAAGAUAAUGACGGUAACCGGAGAAGAAGCCCCGGCUAACUUCGUGCCAGCAGCCGCGGUAAUACGAAGGGGGCUAGCGUUGUUCGGAUUUACUGGGCGUAAAGCGAACGUAGGAGGACUAUUAAGUUAGGGGUGAAAUCCCGGGGCUCAACCCCGGAACUGCCUUUGAUACUGGUAGUCGUGAGUUCGAGAGAGGGGAGUGGAAUUCCGAGUGUAGAGGUGAAAUUCGUAGAUAUUCGGAGGAACACAAGUGGAGAAGGCGGCUCACUGGGUAGAUAAUGACGCUGAGGUGCGAAAGCGAGGGGAGCAAACAGG